This 198-nucleotide ribosomal RNA is filed under the name uncultured prokaryote. RNAcentral describes it as "partial 16S ribosomal RNA". It matches the Rfam family "Bacterial small subunit ribosomal RNA", at positions 525 to 722 of the family's 1533-position model. The record is from RNAcentral.
ACGGAGGGUGCAAGCGUUAUUCGGAAUUACUGGGCGUAAAGCGUGCGCAGGCGGCUAUGUAAGACAGAUGUGAAAUCCCCGGGCUUAACCCGGGAACUGCAUUUGUAACUGCAUGGCUAGAGUACGGCAGAGGGGGACGGAAUUCCGCGUGUAGCAGUGAAAUGCGUAGAUAUGCGGAGGAACACCGAUGGCGAAGGC